GGAAAAGUUCGGGCGGGCGUGCUCAAACAGCAAGUCCGAGCGAACAGUACGAGGAGCUUCGCUCUCGUCGUUAGCGGCGGACGGGUGAGUAACACGUGGGUAACCUACCUAUAAGACUGGAAUAACUCCGGGAAACCGGGGCUAAUGCCGGAUAAUAUGCGGAACCGCAUGGUUCCGCAAUGAAAGACGGUUUUGCUGUCACUUAUAGAUGGACCCGCGCCGUAUUAGCUAGUUGGUAAGGUAACGGCUUACCAAGGCAACGAUACGUAGCCGACCUGAGAGGGUGAUCGGCCACACUGGAACUGAGACACGGUCCAGACUCCUACGGGAGGCAGCAGUAGGGAAUCUUCCGCAAUGGGCGAAAGCCUGACGGAGCAACGCCGCGUGAGUGAUGAAGGUCUUCGGAUCGUAAAACUCUGUUAUUAGGGAAGAACAAGUGCGUAGGUAACUAUGCGCACCUUGACGGUACCUAAUCAGAAAGCCACGGCUAACUACGUGCCAGCAGCCGCGGUAAUA
RNAcentral lists this ribosomal RNA (516 nucleotides) under Staphylococcus piscifermentans. Its description in RNAcentral is "bacterial SSU rRNA". It matches the Rfam family "Bacterial small subunit ribosomal RNA", at positions 27 to 525 of the family's 1533-position model. Lineage: Bacteria; Bacillati; Bacillota; Bacilli; Caryophanales; Staphylococcaceae. The record is from RNAcentral.